GUGAAUAUAUAUAUAUAUAAACAUAUGAUCUGAUUUUUAGGUUUUGUCUCUUUCCUUUUUCUUUGAGACGCCGACACAAGACAAUCGGAAAAUCGAAAUCAACGGCGUCAGUUCUACACGACUUCAUGCUUCUGUCUAUCGGCUUGCGGCUUCACUUCUUCGUCUUCACAAACUCUCUACAAAUCGAACGACGACCGAAGUCUGAAAUCGGGACCAUCAUGCCUCUCUCUAGCAAUCGAACGACGGGAACCUGUAAUCGACCAUUGCCUUCACCCCCUGUUCCGUUUCGCCUGCUCCGUCCGCCUGCUGUCGUCUGACUGCCGACGACCUGAUUUCAGAUCCACAGCUCCACCUCCGGUUCGGGAGUUGGAACAACGUCAUGCCGAAACUGAAAGAAAAAUGGCGGAAAUUGUUGAAUUUAUGAGACGACAUGACUGUAAUAACCCUCCCGACAAUCUACAUGACGCUCCUUAGGUUAUUUGUUGUAAACGUUUGUAUGUUUUUAGACAUUUAUAUUAUGUUUGUGGUUUAGAUGGAUGUUAAAAUUUGUAACCGAAUGCUUAUGUAUUACUUUUAUUUUUAUUGUGUUUGUGUAAGAAUUUGUAACAAAAUUUUGUUAUUUUUAUUAGAUUUUUUUUUGCAAUUUAAGCAGAAAAAAUUGGUUUUUUU
This is a long non-coding RNA of Lactuca sativa (garden lettuce), 669 nucleotides long. RefSeq lists it as uncharacterized. The record is from RefSeq and is a predicted model, not a curated record. NCBI's taxonomy places the organism in Eukaryota, Viridiplantae, Streptophyta, Magnoliopsida, Asterales, Asteraceae.